UACGUAGGGCGCGAGCGUUAUCCGGAAUUAUUGGGCGUAAAGAGCUCGUAGGCGGUUUGUCGCGUCUGCUGUGAAAACUGGAGGCUCAACCUCCAGCCUGCAGUGGGUACGGGCAGACUAGAGUGCGGUAGGGGAGAUUGGAAUUCCUGGUGUAGCGGUGGAAUGCGCAGAUAUCAGGAGGAACACCGAUGGCGAAGGCAGAUCUCUGGGCCGUAACUGACGCUGAGGAGCGAAAGCAUGGGGAGCGAACAGG
This 253-nucleotide ribosomal RNA is filed under the name uncultured bacterium. RNAcentral's name for it is "partial 16S ribosomal RNA". It matches the Rfam family "Bacterial small subunit ribosomal RNA", at positions 524 to 776 of the family's 1533-position model. The record is from RNAcentral.